GUUGCGCAGAGGAAAGCGGUUGCCCGACAGCGCUCCUCUCGGUAUGUUGGGCUUCUGCUUCUCCUUCGCAUUCGGCUCUUUCCCUUGUUCCAUGUUUUUUUGAGAUUCCUCUGGUUAGCAUGUACGUAUCGAGCAAGUCUGUGAACGACGCGGCUCCUUUCGCUGUCGCCUUCGUCCCACCAGCUGAGGCGGCGACUGCUCCUCGCGUGGCAGACGCUCCAGCCUCCUUGGUCGUCCUGGAGGUGCCAGGAGUGGUUGCCCCUGGUGCGGCCUUCUUUGAGCCGCCGCCUUCUGCACCUGGCCCGGGGCAGGUUUCGGUCGCCGAGGAAGUCGUUGUCGGCGCGCGCUCGGUGGCGGCAGGGUCGGUCGCCGGUCUGCCGCCGCCGCCCCCGCCCCGUGAAGGGGGUUCUGGGUUGGCGCUGUUGCCCGCGGAGGUCGCCGCGCCCUAGGUGCCACCGCCGCCUGCCGCUAUUGCCUUGACUUCCGCAGGUGCCGCGGUACCCAUGGGAUCUGAGGAAAUCCACGGGGGGCUUCCCCUCUCCCUCCCUGAAGGACGGGGGGCAGAGGCAGAAGAGUGGCAGCGGACCGAGUCAGCCUCGUCUCGGGCCAACUCGAGCUUAGAAACUAUCGAGCGCAUGUUCGGUAGCUUCGAGGAGGCGAUUUCGAUUGCUUGGGCGUCGAUGACGCGGGAUCUGAUUCCUUUUGGUUAGCGCCUCCUUAUGCGGUCGGUGGCUCGAGAGGAAGCGCUACUAGCCGCCCAACAGGAGGUGGAGCAGUUGCGUGCUGGGGCCAUUCGGCUCAGGGAGUGGGAGCGCGAGCUCACCACCCUUUGUUCUGAGGCUGUCCGGCUUCGGAGCGAGACGCCGCUCCUACGCGUGGAGCAUGACGAUGCUUAGGGCAACAUGGAUCACCUACGGGAGGAGGGGUCCCGACUCUAAGAGGCCCUCGAUGGGAUGAGCCUUGGGGCCGAGGGGGCCACGCCGAACCUUGGGGAGGUCGACGCCUGUCUAGGGGAGGCAAACUCGGAGCUCCAAAGGGAACGCAAUGCAACUGGAGAGCUCUAAAAGAUGAUUUCCCAAGCUGAGGUCGCCAGGAAGGCAGCAGAAGAGGCGAAGACGGUGGCAGAAGGAAGGAUACGAGAGCUCUCGCUUGCUUGUGAUGGCACCGUUGUUUCGAGACUCCAGGCGGAGACCUCACUUUCGGAGCGGAGCGCCGAGCUCCAAGUGCUUCACCCGAUCGUCGGCUCGGUGUGCACUCACCUUUCUUCUCCACCGCCGAUCGAGGUCCCUCUAAUCAAUCGGCUGCGAGCGCUGUCCGAUCAUGUGGAGCACGUGGUCGUCGAGGGAGCAUAUCACGGGAGCAUCCUUGCCCUGGGACAGAUGGUCUCCCAUUUCGAUGAAAUCGACUCUGGUGUGAUCGCGGAAGGCUUCGCCGCCGGUUGAAGUGACGAGGAGCUGGGUGCCAUUGAGGUGCAGGUCCAUCCCCACGCCCGGUCGAUCGUGGGCCGGGUCAAUGUGAAGUUCCUCCUGAUCGACCCCUGGAGCCUGGGACCACUCGCCGGUGGUCCGUCCACCCAUUCUUAGUCGGCGUUCAUUGUAAUGUUUUG
Molecule: unclassified non-coding RNA, 1606 nt
Filed under: Zea mays
Lineage: Eukaryota; Viridiplantae; Streptophyta; Magnoliopsida; Poales; Poaceae
Description: misc RNA Zm00001eb432240
Source: RNAcentral